Molecule: ribosomal RNA, 497 nt
Filed under: uncultured bacterium
Lineage: Bacteria
Description: partial 16S ribosomal RNA
Rfam family: Bacterial small subunit ribosomal RNA
Source: RNAcentral
GACGAACGCUGGCGGCGUGCCUAAUACAUGCAAGUAGAACGCUGAAGCGAGGAGCUUGCUCUUCUUGGAUGAGUUGCGAACGGGUGAGUAACGCGUAGGUAACCUGCCUUGUAGCGGGGGAUAACUAUUGGAAACGAUAGCUAAUACCGCAUAACAAUGGAUGACACAUGUCAUUUAUUUGAAAGGGGCAAUUGCUCCACUACAAGAUGGACCUGCGUUGUAUUAGCUAGUAGGUGAGGUAAUGGCUCACCUAGGCGACGAUACAUAGCCGACCUGAGAGGGUGAUCAGCCACACUGGGACUGAGACACGGCCCAGACUCCUACGGGAGGCAGCAGUAGGGAAUCUUCGGCAAUGGGGGCAACCCUGACCGAGCAACGCCGCGUGAGUGAAGAAGGUUUUCGGAUCGGAAAGCUCUGUUGUAAGUCAAGAACGGGGGUGAGAGUGGAAAGUUCACACUGUGACGGUAGCUUACCAGAAAGGGACGGCUAACUACGUG